RNAcentral lists this ribosomal RNA (322 nucleotides) under uncultured Woronina. Its description in RNAcentral is "bacterial SSU rRNA". The stretch from base 103 to 322 matches the Rfam family "Eukaryotic small subunit ribosomal RNA", at positions 733 to 955 of the family's 1831-position model. The record is from RNAcentral. Lineage: Eukaryota; Endomyxa; Phytomyxea; Plasmodiophorida; Plasmodiophoridae.
GAUUUCUGGUUGACCAUCCUGGCCCGCGUCCUCACGGGCGUGUGUGCUGGUGUGAGUCUUCCAUCCUUCUAGAGAGCCGUGCCUGCUGUUCACUCAGCUGGGCAUGUGCGAUCUAGAUCAUUUACUUUGAAAAAAUUAGAGUGUUUAAAGCAGGCUUAUGCCAGAAUACAUUAGCAUGGAAUAAUAAAAUAGGACUUUGGUUCUAUUUUGUUGGUUUCUAGAACUGAAGUAAUGAUUGAUAGGGAUAGUUGGGGGUGCUAGUAUUCAGCGGCCAGAGGUGAAAUUCUUGGAUUCGCUGAAGACUAACUACUGCGAAAGCAUU